Molecule: non-coding RNA, 29 nt
Filed under: Rattus norvegicus (Norway rat)
Lineage: Eukaryota; Metazoa; Chordata; Mammalia; Rodentia; Muridae
Source: RNAcentral
UGAAACUCAGAGGUUCACAACUUGGCUUC